RNAcentral lists this ribosomal RNA (253 nucleotides) under uncultured bacterium. Its description in RNAcentral is "partial 16S ribosomal RNA". It matches the Rfam family "Bacterial small subunit ribosomal RNA", at positions 524 to 776 of the family's 1533-position model. The record is from RNAcentral.
UACGUAGGGUGCAAACGUUGUUCGGAAUUACUGGGCGUAAAGCGCGUGUAGGCUGCUUCGCAAGUCGGAUGUGAAAUCCCCAGGCUUAACCUGGGAACUGCAUUCGAGACUGCAUUGCUAGAGUAUGGGAGAGGGAAGUGGAAUUUCCGGUGUAGCGGUGAAAUGCGUAGAUAUCGGAAGGAACAUCAGUGGCGAAAGCGACUUCCUGGACCAAUACUGACGCUCAUGUGCGAAAGCGUGGGGAGCAAACAGG